AGUAACACGUAGAUAAUCUACCUUCAAUACUGGGAUAACUAUUCGAAAGGAUAGCUAAUACCGGAUAAAGUUGAUUGACAAAAGUUAAUUUAUGAAAGAUUGCCUCUUCUUGAAAGCAAUUGAUUGGAGAUGAGUUUGCGGACCAUUAGUUAGUUGGUGGGGUAAAGGCCUACCAAGACUACGAUGGUUAGCUGGUCUGAGAGGAUGAUCAGCCACACUGGAACUGGUACACGGUCCAGACUCC
RNAcentral lists this ribosomal RNA (244 nucleotides) under uncultured bacterium. RNAcentral describes it as "partial 16S ribosomal RNA". It matches the Rfam family "Bacterial small subunit ribosomal RNA", at positions 109 to 339 of the family's 1533-position model. The record is from RNAcentral.